CCAAAUGCUGUUGCUCACAGCUCACUUCGCACUUCGCAGUAUUCAGUAUUCAGUAUUCACAAUAUUCCGCUACUCUUCCAAACGCUCACUCUGCAACUCCAUUGAUGAACAACAAAACUUGCAUCUUGCAUCUCUGAAUUCCGAAUAAGAAAUGGUAGUACUCACUCGUCUGAAAUCCGCUUUACGUCUUCUUCCUCGUUCUUCCGUGACCUACGCAACCUCUGCCUCUUCCACCUCCAACCUCUUUACGGCGAAGAGGAAUCAAAUCGCCGCCGUUUAUCUGCCGCAGGAUUUGUACCGUCGGAUAUUCACUGUGACCGAACCAACUCUCCCGGUUGUUACGAUUCUCGAGCAGUGGGUUCAGGAUGGCCGAACUCUUACCUACGAUAAACUGCUAUUCCUUAUCAAGCAACUUAGGUCACGCAAAAGAUAUAAAAACGCCCUCGAGGUGUCAUUUUGGAUGUCUGACAAAGGAUAUUCUGAACCUGGAUCUGCAGAAUUUAGUUUAAGACUGGACUUGAUUGCAAAGGCUAAGGGAAUAGAAGAAGCUGAAUCCUAUUUUGAUAGCAUUCCGAAAUACUCAAGAGCUGCAGAAUGUUACAGCUCUCUUCUUAAUUGCUAUGCUCAAGUUAGGGAUGUGGAUAAAGCUGAAAGGAUCAUGCUGCAGAUGAAACAUUUGGGUUUUGCAAGGUCUACCUUGGCAAGAAAUUCUUUGCUUAACCUCUAUUAUCAAACACAAAACUAUGACAAAGUGGAAAAUUUGUUGCUUGAAAUGAAAGAAGAGGAUAUUAAAUUCGAUAGAUUUACAUUAGCUACCUUGAUUAAUACAUAUGCGGCCCAAUCUGAUAUAGAAGGAAUCGACAAAGUUCUUGCACAGUUAGAAGAUGAUCCAUCGUAUUCCCAACAUGUAGAUUGGUGGAGUGUUUAUGCUGUGGCAGCCAAUUGGUAUGGCAAACUCGGGCUUCAUGAUAAAGCUUUUAACGCUUUAAAGAAAUCAGAGAAGCGCCUGAGUUAUACAAUCUGGAAUGAGGCCUUUCCUUACCUUAUGACUCAAUAUGCAGCAAUAGGGAAGAGAGAAGAAGUGAUGAGGUUGUGGAAUAUUUACAUGAUGGAUGGGAAAUUACUCAAAAGAGACUAUUAUUCAGCUGUAAUAAGUUCGUUUCUCAAGUUGGAUGACAUUGAACUUGCUAAGAGUAUCUUUGAGGAGUGGGAAUCUAGAAACCGGUAUUUCAUAAAUUUCUUUAUUCCAAACAAGAUGAUAGCAGCUUACAGCAGAAAGGGCAAUAUGGAGGAAGCUGAAGCCAUUGUUAAUAGGACAAUCAUGAAGGGAGGAAAGCCAAAUUCAUGGACUUGGUCAUGGCUCUUGCUUGGAUAUAUUCCACAAAGAAAUUUUCCGAGGGCUGUUCAAUGUAUGAAAGAGGCAGUUUCUAUCUGUGAAGUGGGGUGUAAGUGGAGGCCAUUACCAGAAUCCUUAGCUGCCAUUUUUCAGUACUUGAAAUUUAAUGGAGAUAUGGAGGAGGCAGAGGGUUUGAUAAGGUUACUCAGUAGCAAGAAUGUUAUCUCCCUUGAUGUUCAUAACAAGCUGAUGAGUUGGAUUAAGGAUGUGGAGUCAAAUGUACCUGCAAUUGCUGUGCUGGGAGGCGAUUCACAUAAACAAACAGGCAUUUCUUCUCCUUUUCCUUUUGAUUCCAGAUUCAAAGAAGGGAUAGGAAAAUCUAGCAGAUUCUCUUUCAAUCACCGUCGUCGUUCUUUCUUUCGCUACCUCCUCGGUUACUCGUUCUCUCCUACACCGUGCUUGCUCUACUAGGGUUUUCGCCCCUCUUUCACUUACUGUUGCUUGCUCUAUGUUCCUCUUCAUCCCCGGUCUUGCUCUUUCUCUAAUCCUCGCCACCGCAACACGGUUCCGUCUUUCACUCACUGUUGCUUGCUGUAUGUUCCUCUUCAUCCGCGGUCUUGCUCUUUCUCUGAUCCUCGCCACCGCAACACGGUUCCUCAGCCGCACCGCAACACUCGGGUCCACCACUUCCCUGGUUUUUGUCGCCCCUCUGUCCCUGUUCUUCACCAGCGACUCUGAUCUUUGUCCUUCUUCCUUCACCUCUGCCUUUGCGACCUACUCCUUUAAGUGGGAAGUUUUCAAACAACAAAUGAAAGACAUGCUUUAUCACAGUGAUCAAAAGGGCAUCGAGUUGAAAAAGCCUGGUGCUUCUCUUUAUACGUUUCCCAUGCCAGAUUGCAUGUGUAAACAGGAAGAAGCAAGAAGUAGAAAUUGUAGCUCUAGGAAAUGUACGAUGUUUUGAGUAUAAAUAUAUGACCUUUAGGAACACAAUCAAUACCUGUAAUUUAUUUUUGUAUCAUUCAGUUCGAUUUUCUUUUUUCUUUUUAAAUAUGGUAGAAUUAUUUUAAGUAAAGUGUAUAAAAAAGGCACGAAUUAAGUGUUAAUUGUUCUUUUCAUUUAAGCUCAACAAAUGGCACUUAAGUGUACAUUAAAUAAUUGAAAACCUUCAAAGACACG
Molecule: RNA transcript, 2512 nt
Organism: Arachis duranensis
Lineage: Eukaryota; Viridiplantae; Streptophyta; Magnoliopsida; Fabales; Fabaceae
Gene name: pentatricopeptide repeat-containing protein At2g20710, mitochondrial
Exons: 4
Source: RefSeq, a predicted model, not a curated record